RNAcentral lists this ribosomal RNA (417 nucleotides) under Triticum aestivum (bread wheat). Its description in RNAcentral is "partial small subunit ribosomal RNA". The record is from RNAcentral. Lineage: Eukaryota; Viridiplantae; Streptophyta; Magnoliopsida; Poales; Poaceae.
AUGGCAAAAGCAAUGAACCAAUACCUACCACUACCGGUCAUUACAAUGCCGCCCUUGUACAAGGUUCAAAGACAUUAUACUGAGAAGGAAAGGAGAUGCUACGGUCAGCAGCUUCCUCGUGCCAUCGCGCUCGAUCCAGGAGGUGCUAGCUCAUGCUGGCUGGAACUAGGAUGCAAAAGGGUUGACGGAUCCAUGCCGCACAAGCACUGCGCCAUGCUCAGUCCAACCCCGUGGCUUCAGGGUGGCCGAGUUCGUCGCGACCAUCAGUUCAGAGACCUGCGUCACUACCCGUGUCGCUACCAUGGCCACCUGCAUCACUGCGUGCUCCGUCAACAGCCUCCUGCACAGGGAAAAGCAACAGGAGUAGAGGUGUCUGAGAUGCUCUGUUCUAGCGAGGUGGCUAAUUAUGUUUGUUAG